CGCAUCUUUAUAAAGGGCCGCCUUGGGGCGCGAAAAGUUCGUGAGGUGUAGUCGCGGCAACCAGGAGCAGGUGCACCCACCACUAGAAUUUGAACAUCCUAAGAACAGGUAUUUUUGUCUCUGCUUUGCUGAUGUAUCCUCAGCAACCGGAACUGCCUGACAUCUGAUCCUUUCUGUGAGACACCAGGCUGUUGAGGAAGAAUCUAUGGCAACAUUGUAUCUAUUAAUAUACAGCUUCUGUAUUUAUCAGGCCCAGUUCUGGUGAUGAUUUCACUUUUGACAGAAGCUGUCCCUCAAAAGCAAACAUGCAAUAGAAGAAACAGAUCUCAAUGCCAUCCAUCUGCAGUUGUGACAAGCAAAAAAGUCUCCAGACAUGGCCAAAUGUCCCCUGGGGGGCAAAAUCACCCCCAAUUGAGAACUACUGCUCUAAACUCUUGAAAUUAGGUUUGUAGGUACCAAAAGCAGAGCCUCAGAAGAGGGUGAACUGAUGACAGCAACUUCUACUGAGAAGAAAACACCAAAGCUGAGAUAACGCUGACCUCAAAUGCAACACUGUAGGCAAUAAAGAACAAUGGCAUUCGAACAUAAAGCUGUUUCCAAAAUCUACAGUUAUGUAUCGGCCGUACUUGCAUCUUCAGAACUGUUAGAGGGAAAUCACCAACACUUGAUGCCUCUAACCUACUCAUACACGCUAAAUUUCCUUUCUCUUAAUCUUAAGGAAUAACAGAUAAAUAAAAAGAGAAACAGCUUUCUUGCCCAUAGUUUUUUAUUUGAUAUUAGAAAGGAAAAAUAAGCAGCCAAAGCUGUCCCUGAACAUACACCACAGGGAGGAGCUGCACAGAGGGCCCAGCCUUAGUACACAGCUCCUGGUAAGGCCAUUAGCAUGUAACUCAGUAAAACUGAGUAUCUGUGAUUCUUAUCAGCCACCAGUGAUGAGAUGCUUGCUGUGUAUCAGGAAGCCAGAGGCAGCGGUAUAAGUGGAAAAGCCAGAGCCAGACUGCGUG
This 1004-nucleotide long non-coding RNA is filed under the name Homo sapiens (human). RNAcentral describes it as "HSALNT0312072". The record is from RNAcentral. Lineage: Eukaryota; Metazoa; Chordata; Mammalia; Primates; Hominidae.